CUGCGAGUGAAGCGGGAAAAGCUCAAAUUUAAAAUCUGGCGGUCUUUUGGCUGUCCGAGUUGUAAUCUAGAGAAGUGCUAUCCGCGCUGGACCGUGUACAAGUCUCCUGGAAUGGAGCAUCAUAGAGGGUGAGAAUCCCGUCUUUGACAUGGACUGCCAGGGCUUUUGUGGUGCGCUCUCAAAGAGUCGAGUUGUUUGGGAAUGCAGCUCAAAAUGGGUGGUAAAUUCCAUCUAAAGCUAAAUAUUGGCGAGAGACCGAUAGCGAACAAGUACCGUGAGGGAAAGAUGAAAAGAACUUUGGAAAGAGAGUUAAACAGUACGUGAAAUUGCUGAAAGGGAAACGCUUGAAGUCAGUCGCGUCGUCCAGGGAUCAACCUUGCUUUUGCUUGGUGCACUUCCUGGUCUGACGGGUCAGCAUCAAUUUUGACUAUUGGAAAAAGAUCAAGGGAAUGUGGCAUCUCUGGAUGUGUUAUAGCCCUUGGUUGCAUACAAUGGUUUGGGAUUGAGGAACUCAGCACGCCGCAAGGCCGGGUGUCAAAACCACGUACGUGCUUAGGAUGCUGACAUAUAUAAUGGCUUUAAUCGACCCGUCUUGAAACACGGACCAAGGAGUCUAACAUGCCUGCGAGUGUUUGGGUGGAAAACCCGAGCGCGUAAUGAAAGUGAGAGGUUGAGAUCCCUGUCGUGGGGAGCAUCGACGCCCGGACCAGACCUUUUGCGACGGUUCCGCGGUAGAGCAUGUAUGUUGGGACCCGAAAGAUGGUGAACUAUGCCUGAAUAGGGUGAAUCCAGAGGAAACUCUGGUGGAGGCUCGUAGCGAUUCUGACGUGCAAAUCGAUCGUCAAAUUUGGGUAUA
RNAcentral lists this ribosomal RNA (856 nucleotides) under Cortinarius kashmirensis. RNAcentral's name for it is "partial large subunit ribosomal RNA". It matches the Rfam family "Eukaryotic large subunit ribosomal RNA", at positions 87 to 919 of the family's 3401-position model. Lineage: Eukaryota; Fungi; Basidiomycota; Agaricomycetes; Agaricales; Cortinariaceae. The record is from RNAcentral.